AGAAGCUUAGGAUAUAAAGUCCAAGGGCCUUCAAAGCCCUAAGAAAAUUAUCAAAUUUAGCUUCUGC
RNAcentral lists this transfer RNA (67 nucleotides) under Grammomys selousi. RNAcentral's name for it is "tRNA-Trp". Lineage: Eukaryota; Metazoa; Chordata; Mammalia; Rodentia; Muridae. The record is from RNAcentral.